Molecule: non-coding RNA, 23 nt
Filed under: Cricetulus griseus (Chinese hamster)
Lineage: Eukaryota; Metazoa; Chordata; Mammalia; Rodentia; Cricetidae
Source: RNAcentral
CUUGAAACACGUAGCUACUGAUU